Molecule: transfer RNA, 136 nt
Filed under: Nanobdellota archaeon
Lineage: Archaea; Nanobdellati; Nanobdellota
Description: tRNA-Val
Rfam family: tRNA
About the family: Transfer RNA (tRNA) molecules are approximately 80 nucleotides in length.
Source: RNAcentral
GGGCCUGUAGUCUAGCGGCCAACGACACACAUUCGUUGACACUGUAGGGGUUUCGCCUAUCGGCUCAAGCCCCUCGUCCGCAGAUGAUGUCGCCUUCACACGGCGAAGGUCGCCGGUUCAAGUCCGGCCAGGCCCA